RNAcentral lists this ribosomal RNA (250 nucleotides) under uncultured Cytophagia bacterium. Its description in RNAcentral is "partial 16S ribosomal RNA". It matches the Rfam family "Bacterial small subunit ribosomal RNA", at positions 524 to 773 of the family's 1533-position model. Lineage: Bacteria; Pseudomonadati; Bacteroidota; Cytophagia. The record is from RNAcentral.
UACGGAGGGUGCAAGCGUUGUCCGGAUUUAUUGGGUUUAAAGGGUGCGUAGGCGGCUAAUUAAGUCAGUGGUGAAAUACAGCCGCUCAACGGUUGAGGUGCCAUUGAUACUGAUUAGCUUGAGUACAGUGGAGGCUGCCGGAAUGGAUGGUGUAGCGGUGAAAUGCAUAGAUAUCAUCAAGAACACCGAUUGCGAAGGCAGCUUACUAGGCUUUAACUGACGCUGAGGCACGAAAGCGUGGGGAGCAAAC